AUAAACGACUCUCGGCAACGGAUAUCUCGGCUCACGCAUCGAUGAAGAACGUAGCAAAAUGCGAUACUUGGUGUGAAUUGCAGAAUCCCGUGAACCAUCGAGUUUUUGAACGCAAGUUGCGCCCGAAGCCAUUCGGCCGAGGGCACGCCUGCCUGGGCGUCACG
Molecule: ribosomal RNA, 164 nt
Filed under: Echinops nuratavicus
Lineage: Eukaryota; Viridiplantae; Streptophyta; Magnoliopsida; Asterales; Asteraceae
Description: 5.8S ribosomal RNA
Rfam family: 5.8S ribosomal RNA
About the family: 5.8S ribosomal RNA (5.8S rRNA) is a component of the large subunit of the eukaryotic ribosome. It is transcribed by RNA polymerase I as part of the 45S precursor that also contains 18S and 28S rRNA.
Source: RNAcentral